Molecule: long non-coding RNA, 159 nt
Organism: Salvelinus sp. IW2-2015
Lineage: Eukaryota; Metazoa; Chordata; Actinopteri; Salmoniformes; Salmonidae
Source: RefSeq, a predicted model, not a curated record
UUGCCAGAAGCCACUCCGUUGGUGGAGUAGAAAGACCACCAGUAAAGAAUCCAGUGUUUUAUGAUGCUGGUGGUCUUCCUGGUGGGGUAACUGAGGACCAGAAACAUGGGGUUUGAAGGCUCUCAGUACAUAACUCCAUAUCUGUUACAUUGAGACAAA